CCUACGGGUGGCUGCAGUGGGGAAUUUUGGACAAUGGACGCAAGUCUGAUCCAGCAAUGCCGCGUGCAGGACGAAGGCCUUCGGGUUGUAAACUGCUUUUGUACAGAACGAAAAAGUCUUUAAUAACACUAGAGGCUCAUGACGGUACUGUAAGAAUAAGCACCGGCUAACUACGUGCCAGCAGCCGCGGUAAUACGUAGGGUGCAAGCGUUAAUCGGAAUUACUGGGCGUAAAGCGUGCGCAGGCGGUUAUAUAAGACAGAUGUGAAAUCCCCGGGCUCAACCUGGGACCUGCAUUUGUGACUGUAUAGCUAGAGUACGGUAGAGGGGGAUGGAAUUCCGCGUGUAGCAGUGAAAUGCGUAGAUAUGCGGAGGAACACCGAUGGCGAAGGCAAUCCCCUGGACCUGUACUGACGCUCAUGCACGAAAGCGUGGGGAGCAAACAGGAUUAGAUACCCCGGUAGUC
RNAcentral lists this ribosomal RNA (465 nucleotides) under uncultured Comamonadaceae bacterium. RNAcentral's name for it is "bacterial SSU rRNA". It matches the Rfam family "Bacterial small subunit ribosomal RNA", at positions 338 to 795 of the family's 1533-position model. The record is from RNAcentral. Lineage: Bacteria; Pseudomonadati; Pseudomonadota; Betaproteobacteria; Burkholderiales; Comamonadaceae.